Melospiza georgiana is the source of this 484-nucleotide long non-coding RNA. RefSeq lists it as uncharacterized. The transcript is spliced from 3 exons. The record is from RefSeq and is a predicted model, not a curated record. Lineage: Eukaryota; Metazoa; Chordata; Aves; Passeriformes; Passerellidae.
GAUCAGAUUGGAUCUGUAAAGCUUGACCGGAAGCAUGGGAUGAGCAAACAGCUCUGAAGACCGUAAACAUCACUCAGCCACCCAGAGCAGCAGGGAAAGUACUGCUGAUAAACAGAUUUCUCAGUAACAGGCUUCUCCUUUGACAUGGAUCAAGCCACAGUUGCUGCAGGUAUGGUCAUACCCUUAAAUCAGUACAGCAGGAACACCUUUUGGGGAUUAAAUUUCCCAUUUUCUCAUCCAUUUGCUUGUUCUUGAUGUGCUUUUACAGACUGUGCAGUUGCUUUGUGUCCAUCUUGAGAAGAGGGAGACAAAUUCCCCCCCAAGAGCAGAAGGCAGGAUGUGGAUUGUGCAUGGUGUCUGGAGUCUUUAACAAAAACAGGGAGGUGGAACAUUUAGAACCUGAUCAGAGUAUUCCACUACAAAGCUCAUACUGGCAAUAGUGUGGGAGUACAGCCUACAUGACAACAGUAGGAGGGACCUGGUA